AUACGGAGGAUCCGAGCGUUAUCCGGAUUUAUUGGGUUUAAAGGGUGCGCAGGCGGCCAUUUAAGUCAGCGGUUAAAUCGUGGGGCUCAACCCCAUUCUGCCGUUGAUACUGGGUGGCUUGAUUGCGGUCGAGGUUGGCGGAAUUCGUUGUGUAGCGGGGAAAUGCAUAGAUAUGACGAAGAACACCGAUUGCGUAGGCAGCUGACCAGACCGCAAAUGACGCUCAUGCACGAAAGUGCGGGGAUCGAACAGGAUUAGAUACCCUGGUAGUCCGCACAGUAAACGAUGAAUACUUGUUUUCGGCGAUAUAAUGUCGGAGGCAAAGCGAAAGCGAUAAGUAUUCCACCUGGGGAGUACGCCGGCAACGGCGAAACUCAAAGGAAUUGACGG
Molecule: ribosomal RNA, 390 nt
Filed under: uncultured bacterium
Lineage: Bacteria
Description: partial 16S ribosomal RNA
Rfam family: Bacterial small subunit ribosomal RNA
Source: RNAcentral